CAUGGGUUUGAAGAGGACCAGUCACGUUCUGGGCGUCAGGCGGUGACCGGGGCGGGCGGCAGAGCCAGUUUUACUGCUCUGAAAGUGGGGCUGGGGAGGAGACGGCGACACUCAAAUACCCAGGGCCCUGCACGCUGCCAGCCAGGCGUGGAGGAGGCCGCUCGCCUUUCCCUGCUGCGGGUGGGUUUGGAAGUGGUCUUAAGGCAUCUCUCUGCAUAUUUGAAGAGAAAACCAAACGGUGGGGACCAGGAAGGUGUCUUAAUCCCUGAAAAGCCCACGUUAUUCCCCCCUCCAGUCGCUCUUCUCUGUGCCACAGGCGUGAGCACCUCGUGUCCCAGAGCCCUUUGGCUGCGGCGAAAUGUCGACGAUCCUGAAAUGGUUUGGACGGGAAGAUAAGGAGAGAGAGGAGAAGGGCACUGAAGAAGAGAAGGAAAAGGAGGAGGAGAAAGAAGAGGAAAAGGGAGAUGGGGAAGGUGGCGACAGGAGUAGCAGCAGCUCCCACAGUGGCUCAGAGGAGGAGCACAGCAGCGACAAGGACGAAGAGAAGGAAGCCGCAGAUUAGCCUUGCUGUGCACCCCCAGGAGGUGGGGAUGCUGGUGGCAGCACUUCGGAGGGGGGACUGGCCGCUUUUAGCCAAAUAAAAGAGUUUGCGGGC
Molecule: long non-coding RNA, 655 nt
Organism: Cygnus olor (mute swan)
Lineage: Eukaryota; Metazoa; Chordata; Aves; Anseriformes; Anatidae
Exons: 5
Source: RefSeq, a predicted model, not a curated record